UAGGCGUAAUGCUUUUGGUGUCUAGAUGU
RNAcentral lists this non-coding RNA (29 nucleotides) under Rattus norvegicus (Norway rat). Lineage: Eukaryota; Metazoa; Chordata; Mammalia; Rodentia; Muridae. The record is from RNAcentral.